Molecule: long non-coding RNA, 911 nt
Filed under: Pongo abelii (Sumatran orangutan)
Lineage: Eukaryota; Metazoa; Chordata; Mammalia; Primates; Hominidae
Description: lincRNA
Source: RNAcentral
GAGCCUUGGACGGGGAAGCAGAAAAGGCUUAGCAGCUACUAAUGGGUUCUAUUAGUAGUAGUAUUAGAAGCUGACAAUGACUGUUGGGCUUUUCCAAUGAAUACCAGAACACCAUUUCCUGCAGCCUGAAAAGAAGACAGUAUAAUUAUUUGGCAGCAAGAGACAGGAUCUCACUGUGUUGCUCAGACUGGUCUCGAACUCCUGGGCUUAAGGGAUUAUCCUGCCUCAAUCACAGUCUCCCAAGUAGCUGAGAUUACAAGUGCUCACCACCGUGCCAGCCAGUUCAGUUUUUGAGAUCUGUCCCCUUUCACGAAGGAUUUAAGGCUAAAGAUUUAAGUUGUGAAGAUGAUGAUGGAUUGACUCUAUGAAUGGCACAUUUUUUUAUGCCUCCCUUUUCCCUUGUCCUUGGGCAGUGUCCUCCGACUGACUCUGUGCUUGGCCCUGUGACUUGCUUUGGCCAAUGGUACAGCAGCAAACUUGAUGCAAACACAACUUGAAAAAGAAGAGGACAGCCAAGUCAUCCCAGCCAAGGCCACCCUGGACCAGCCAGCCUCUUGCCAAGCUGCCAGUGACCACAGAGUCCAAUUAACAACAGCCAGUCCUGGCCCAGGUUAGCAGACCCAUGAGAAAGAACAGGCUAUCAUUUAAAGCCAUGGGUUUAGGGGUGGUUUGUUGCACAGCAAUAAAUAACUAAUACAGAAACUUACAUUCUACAAAAAUGCUAUUAAUCAACAAGCAUAUUAAGAUGCAAUCUCAGCCUGGUGCAGUGGCUCACACCUGUAAACUCAGUACUUUGGGAGUCCAAGGCGGGUGGAUCACCUGAUGUCAGGAGUUCAAGACCAGCCUGGCCAACAUGGCGAAACCCUGUCUCUACUAAAAAUACAAAAAUUAGCUGCACAUGGUGGCGGCCA